GCUGCUUUCCCUACAGUUCACCCAGGGAACUUGGAUUGAAAGGAAGAGACUGAGGUUGGAUCUCAGGAACACUUCAUAGCAUGCUGGUGUGCCAUGCCAGCUGGAGCCAGGGUGUUUCUUCUUAUAGAGGAUGAUGGCACCAGAUACGCUGACUUCAGGGCCUGGGCAUUUCCACCAGCUGCACCCAAGAUGGAGAGCAGGGUCUAAUGCAUCAAAAAUCUGGAAAGUUCCUGUUGUCACCUCCUAAGCUACUCCCUCAAAAUAACCAAAGCCUUCAACUGUAUGCCUUUGAAUAGCUGAAGUCUGAAAAUAAAUUAGUUUUAAUUCCCAUU
Urocitellus parryii (Arctic ground squirrel) is the source of this 332-nucleotide long non-coding RNA. RefSeq lists it as uncharacterized. The record is from RefSeq and is a predicted model, not a curated record. Lineage: Eukaryota; Metazoa; Chordata; Mammalia; Rodentia; Sciuridae.